CAGGGAGAUGGCUUUGAACAUGCAAUCUAUUGUAACUUCUGCACCUGUUGGCUCUCACCAAGGCGCGUGCUAAAAAGGACAUUUGGCAGUACAAAUCGUUAGGUACUGAGCUCAUUUAUAUGAUGCCCAUGUUCAGUUUAAGUUCAGCUUUAGUGUAUCCACUUUCCACUUGUUCAGUGACUUUACUGCAUAAUUUGUGCAUCUGAAUGUGGGUUGUAAUUGUAUGGAUGGAUAAGGUUUUUAUUUUUUAUUUUCUUUGUUGGGGUGGGAUUUGAUGGACAAGGUAUUGAAGGGAAAAGUUGUUGACAUGAUUGAGAGAAAAUGGGGUUCAUGUAGUUCAUGUGAAUCUUCAAAGUUGAAGUGCAGCUUAUGCUCUGUUUGGAAAUUGUAAUAAGAUGGGUGGAAGAGUUUUAUUCUAUAUACUAAUCAAGUUUACUGACUAA
This is a long non-coding RNA of Corylus avellana, 443 nucleotides long. RefSeq lists it as uncharacterized. NCBI's taxonomy places the organism in Eukaryota, Viridiplantae, Streptophyta, Magnoliopsida, Fagales, Betulaceae. The record is from RefSeq and is a predicted model, not a curated record.